UAGCCCUACGGGACGCAGCAGUGGGGAAUAUUGGGCAAUGGGCGCAAGCCUGACCCAGCAACGCCGCGUGAAGGAAGAAGGCUUUCGGGUUGUAAACUUCUUUUCUCAGGGACGAAGCAAGUGACGGUACCUGAGGAAUAAGCCACGGCUAACUACGUGCCAGCAGCCGCGGUAAUACGUAGGUGGCAAGCGUUAUCCGGAUUUACUGGGUGUAAAGGGCGUGUAGGCGGGGACGCAAGGCAGAUGUGAAAACCACGGG
Molecule: ribosomal RNA, 259 nt
Filed under: uncultured bacterium
Lineage: Bacteria
Description: partial 16S ribosomal RNA
Rfam family: Bacterial small subunit ribosomal RNA
Source: RNAcentral